This 218-nucleotide ribosomal RNA is filed under the name Oncorhynchus nerka (sockeye salmon). Its description in RNAcentral is "partial 16S ribosomal RNA". The record is from RNAcentral. Lineage: Eukaryota; Metazoa; Chordata; Actinopteri; Salmoniformes; Salmonidae.
AUGGAGCUUUAGACACCAGGCAGAUCACAUCAAAAACCUUGAAUUAACAAGUAAAAACGCAGUGACCCCUAGCCCAUAUGUCUUUGGUUGGGGCGACCGCGGGGGAAAAUUAAGCCCCCAUGUGGACUGGGGGCACUGCCCCCACAGCCAAGAGCCACAGCUCUAAGCACCAGAAUAUCUGACCAAAAAUGAUCCGGCAAACGCCGAUCAACGGACCG